CCUACGGGAGGCAGCAGUGGGGAAUAUUGCACAAUGGGGGGAACCCUGAUGCAGCGACGCCGCGUGAGUGAAGAAGUAUUUCGGUAUGUAAAGCUCUAUCAGCAGGGAAGAAGAUGACGGUACCUGACUAAGAAGCCCCGGCUAACUACGUGCCAGCAGCCGCGGUAAUACGUAGGGGGCAAGCGUUAUCCGGAUUUACUGGGUGUAAAGGGAGCGUAGACGGUUGGGCAAGUCUGGAGUGAAAGCCCGGGGCUCAACCGCGGGACUGCUUUGGAAACUGAGAAGCUAGAGUGCUGGAGAGGUGAGCGGAAUUCCUAGUGUAGCGGUGAAAUGCGUAGAUAUUAGGAGGAACACCAGUGGCGAAGGCGGCUUACUGGACAGUAACUGACGUUGAGGCUCGAAAGCGUGGGGAGCAAACAGGAUUAGAUACCCUGGUAGUC
Molecule: ribosomal RNA, 440 nt
Filed under: uncultured bacterium
Lineage: Bacteria
Description: partial 16S ribosomal RNA
Rfam family: Bacterial small subunit ribosomal RNA
Source: RNAcentral